GGUUAAGUUAGAAAGGGCGCACGGUGGAUGCCUUGGCACUAGGAGCCGAAGAAGGACGGGACUAACACCGAUAUGCUUUGGGGAGCUGUACGUAAGCGUUGAUCCAGAGAUUUCCGAAUGGGGGAACCCACUAUCUUUAGUCGGAUAGUAUCCUUACGUGAAUACAUAGCGUGAGGAAGGCAGACCCAGGGAACUGAAACAUCUAAGUACCUGGAGGAAGAGAAAGAAAAAUCGAUUUCCUGAGUAGCGGCGAGCGAAACGGAAAGAGCCCAAACCAAGAAGCUUGCUUCUUGGGGUUGUAGGACACUCUAUACGGAGUUACAAAAGAAAGUUAUAAAUGAAGCGGUCUGGAAAGGCCCGCCAAAGACGGUAACAGCCCGGUAGUUGAAAUAGCUUUCCCUCCAGAGUGGAUCCUGAGUACGGCGGAACACGUGAAAUUCCGUCGGAAUCCGGGAGGACCAUCUCCCAAGGCUAAAUACUCCCUAGUGACCGAUAGUGAACCAGUACCGUGAGGGAAAGGUGAAAAGCACCCCGGAAGGGGAGUGAAACAGUUCCUGAAACCGUGUGCCUACAAGUAGUUAGAGCCCGUUAAUGGGUGAUAGCGUGCCUUUUGUAGAAUGAACCGGCGAGUUACGAUUUGUUGCAAGGUUAAGCGGAAAAAGCGGAGCCGUAGCGAAAGCGAGUCUGAAUAGGGCGCAUAAGUAACAGGUCGUAGACCCGAAACCAGGUGAUCUACCCAUGUCCAGGAUGAAGGUAAGGUAAUACUUACUGGAGGUCCGAACCCACGCACGUUGAAAAGUGCGGGGAUGAGGUGUGGGUAGCGGAGAAAUUCCAAUCGAACUUGGAGAUAGCUGGUUCUCUCCGAAAUAGCUUUAGGGCUAGCCUCGAGGUAAAGAGUCAUGGAGGUAGAGCACUGUUUGGACUAGGGGCCCUUCUCGGGUUACCGAAUUCAGAUAAACUCCGAAUGCCAUGUACUUAUACUCGGGAGUCAGACUGCGAGUGAUAAGAUCCGUAGUCGAAAGGGAAACAGCCCAGACCACCAGUUAAGGUCCCCAAAUAUAUGUUAAGUGGAAAAGGAUGUGGGGUUGCUUAGACAACCAGGAUGUUGGCUUAGAAGCAGCCACCAUUGAAAGAGUGCGUAAUAGCUCACUGGUCGAGUGACCCCGCGCCGAAAAUGUACCGGGGCUAAACAUAUUACCGAAACUGUGGAUGAACCUCUUUAGAGGUUCGUGGUAGGAGAGCGUUCUAAGGGCGGUGAAGUCAGACCGGAAGGACUGGUGGAGCGCUUAGAAGUGAGAAUGCCGGUAUGAGUAGCGAAAGAAGGGUGAGAAUCCCUUCCACCGAAUAUCUAAGGUUUCCUGAGGAAGGCUCGUCCGCUCAGGGUUAGUCGGGACCUAAGCCGAGGCCGAUAGGCGUAGGCGAUGGACAACAGGUAGAGAUUCCUGUACCAGUGCUAAUUGUUUAACCGAUGGGGUGACACAGAAGGAUAGGGAAUCGCACGAAUGGAAAUGUGCGUCCAAGCAGUGAGUGUGAGAAGUAGGCAAAUCCGCUUCUCGCGAAGCAUGAGCUGUGAUGGGGAAGGAAAUUAAGUACGGAAGUUCCUGAUUUCACGCUGUCAAGAAAAGCCUCUAGGAAGAGUAGUACUGCCCGUACCGCAAACCGACACAGGUAGAUGAGGAGAGAAUCCUAAGGUGAGCGAGAGAACUCUCGUUAAGGAACUCGGCAAAAUGACCCCGUAACUUCGGGAGAAGGGGUGCUCUAUUAGGGUGCAAGCCCGAGAGAGCCGCAGUGAAUAGGCCCAGGCGACUGUUUAGCAAAAACACAGGUCUCUGCAAAACCGUAAGGUGACGUAUAGGGGCUGACGCCUGCCCGGUGCUGGAAGGUUAAGAGGAGUGCUUAGCUUCGGCGAAGGUACGAAUUGAAGCCCCAGUAAACGGCGGCCGUAACUAUAACGGUCCUAAGGUAGCGAAAUUCCUUGUCGGGUAAGUUCCGACCCGCACGAAAGGCGCAACGAUCUGGGCACUGUCUCAACGAGAGACUCGGUGAAAUUAUAGUACCUGUGAAGAUGCAGGUUACCCGCGACAGGACGGAAAGACCCCGUGGAGCUUUACUGCAACCUGAUAUGGAAUGUUUGUACCGCUUGUACAGGAUAGGUAGGAGCCGAAGAGACGU
Molecule: ribosomal RNA, 2172 nt
Filed under: Listeria monocytogenes
Lineage: Bacteria; Bacillati; Bacillota; Bacilli; Caryophanales; Listeriaceae
Description: partial 23S ribosomal RNA
Rfam family: Bacterial large subunit ribosomal RNA
Source: RNAcentral